GAUUAACGCUGGCGGCGUGCAUAACACAUGCAAGUCGAACGAUGAAACUUAGUAGACUUCUUCGGAAAGACACUAAGCGGCUUAGUGGCGAACGGGUGAGUAACGCGUGAGUAACCUGCCUUACACAAGGGGAUAGCCUUUGGAAACGAAGAAUAAUACCCUAUAAAACCAUAAAAGCACAUGCUAGAAUGGUCAAAGUGAUAGCGGUGUAAGAUGGACUUGCGUCUGAUUAGCUAGUUGGUGAGAUAAAAGCUCACCAAGGCAACGAUCAGUAGCCGGCUUGAGAGAGUGUACGGCCACAUUGGGACUGAGACACGGCCCAGACUCCUACGGGAGGCAGCAGUGGGGAAUUUUGCACAAUGGGGGAAACCCUGAUGCAGCGACGCCGCGUGAUUUAGAAGGCCUUCGGGUUGUAAAAAUCUUUUGUAUAGGAAGAAAAUGACAGUACUAUACGAAUAAGGCCCGGCUAAUUACGUG
RNAcentral lists this ribosomal RNA (477 nucleotides) under uncultured bacterium. RNAcentral describes it as "partial 16S ribosomal RNA". It matches the Rfam family "Bacterial small subunit ribosomal RNA", at positions 28 to 507 of the family's 1533-position model. The record is from RNAcentral.